UCUGACAAGGUCUGAGUGGCUGAGCUGGUCCCUUUGCACUGCAGCUGAUUAGACUGAUGAGGCACAGGUGGUGCAGCCAGGGAGUGGAAAAGGCUCCAAUUCCACCCUAAAGGGGCGGAGAGCUUCUGCACUUCCAACACAGAGGAUCAAAACACAGAUAGACCAGUCGCAGACAGUAAUGGAUGGAUGAAUGAAUAUGAAGCCAGUGCAGAAGUGCCAAAAGCAGCAUUUCAACAUGAAAUGAUGAUUUGACGCUGCCCCUAAAAAGUCCAACUCCAGGGAAGAACUUAACAUGUUUACUUGAGGCAGACAUCUAUAGCUGGUUUGGCCCUUCACAACAAAUGUACAGUGGGUCUCAUUCGUGCAACCUGCAUCCUUCCCACCUCCAGCUCAUUCUGGCCAGUUAGAGAUCCUCAUCCAAGUCUCCACCUGCCUCAUUUCUUCCGCUACAACCAGUGUCGAGAUUCCGGGGGGUCCUGACCUACUUCUACCACUUUGGACUCCACUCUGCUGUGUAACUUGGUGUAAUCACCAAACAACUUUUUACUCAAACUCUGUUCUUCUAUAAAUCAUGUUCAAUUCUUUCGAAUGAUCUGUCCUUAUUGAACUGAUUCUGGGGACAUUUGGGGACAGGAGAACAACCUUUGAACACAACAAUAUUUAUAAUUUGAUACAGAGGUCUCGUGAGCAUGAAGUAAUAGUUCUCAUUUAGUUCCGGUUUUGGUUGCCACCAGGUGCCGAGGGAAAUACCUAGCCACUUAGCUGCUGAAUGCACCGCUAUAUUCACCUGCCAGUUCCUAAUCGUGUUUGCUGGACAUUUGAUAGUGGGCAGAUAAGGGCCAGUUGUUUUUAGAGCUUUUUAACUACAGUUGAGUGCACCAUCUGAAAUUUAUAUCACAGCAGUGAGAGUGUACCAAAACAGCAAAGUCAAAGGGACAUAGAGAAUUGGGUAUAUUGAAUAUAACUGCAGUCUGGUAAUAUAUCCGUGUCUUUGUUAGUACAAAUGUCUAAUGAAUCAAGCUUCUUUAAUGCA
This 1033-nucleotide long non-coding RNA is filed under the name Oreochromis niloticus (Nile tilapia). RNAcentral's name for it is "lncRNA (ENSONIG00000023957.2)". Lineage: Eukaryota; Metazoa; Chordata; Actinopteri; Cichliformes; Cichlidae. The record is from RNAcentral.